Molecule: small nuclear RNA, 307 nt
Filed under: Erinaceus europaeus (western European hedgehog)
Lineage: Eukaryota; Metazoa; Chordata; Mammalia; Eulipotyphla; Erinaceidae
Description: 7SK RNA
Rfam family: 7SK RNA
About the family: 7SK was discovered as an abundant small nuclear RNA in the mid-70s but a possible function has only recently been suggested.
Source: Rfam by way of RNAcentral
AAAUGUGAGGGAGAUCUGGCUGUGACACAUCACCUCACUGACCACCAGGGCUAAUUGGACUGACCUGGCUGGCUAGGCUAGUGUGCCCUUCCUCCCUCCCUCACUGCUCCCUGUGUGUCCCUCCCAGAGGGACACCUUCCUGGAAUAGAGAAGACUGUCCUCAAUUGAAGGUUUACGAGUUGCCGUGCUGCCCUGUUAGAACCUCCAAACAAGCUCUCAGUUGAGUCUAUCACCAUCAACUUUUAAAAGUGAACUAAAAAUAACAUCAAUUAUUCCUAAAAGUUGGAUUGGAGAUAAUUUUCCCUUU